UACGGAGGGGGCGAGCGUUGUCCGAAGUUACUGGGCGUAAAGCGCGCGUAGGCGGGGAGCCAAGUCCGCUGUGAAAGCCCGGAGCUCAACUCCGGCGGGUCGGUGGAUACUGGCUGCUCUUGAAGGUGCUAGGGGGAGAUGGAAUUACCGGUGUAGCGGUGAAAUGCGUAGAGAUCGGUAGGAACACCAGUGGCGAAGGCGGCUCACUGGACUGGUACUGACGCUGAGGCGCGAAAGCGUGGGGAGCAAACGGG
Molecule: ribosomal RNA, 254 nt
Filed under: uncultured bacterium
Lineage: Bacteria
Description: partial 16S ribosomal RNA
Rfam family: Bacterial small subunit ribosomal RNA
Source: RNAcentral